This 454-nucleotide ribosomal RNA is filed under the name uncultured bacterium. Its description in RNAcentral is "bacterial SSU rRNA". It matches the Rfam family "Bacterial small subunit ribosomal RNA", at positions 29 to 506 of the family's 1533-position model. The record is from RNAcentral.
GUGAACGCUGGCGGCGUGCUUAACACAUGCAAGUCGAACGAUGAAGUCCUUCGGGAUGGAUUAGUGGCGCACGGGUGAGUAUACUAUAGGUAAUGUGCCUCUUAGUCUGGGAUAGCCACUGGAAACGGUGAUUAAUACUAGAUACUCCUUCUCAUUACAAGAUGAGUUGGGAAAGUUUUUUCGCUAAGAGAUCGGCCUAUAUUUUAUUAGUUAGUUGGUGAGGUAAUGGUUUAUUAAGGUAAUGAUGGGUAGUGGGUUUGAGAGGAUGAUUUGUUAUAUUGGUAUUGAGAUAUGGAUUAGAUUUUUAUGGGAGGUAGUAGUGAGGAAUAUUGCAUAAUGGGGGAAAUUUUGAUGUAGCAACGCCGCGUGGAGGAUGACGCAUUUCGGUGUGUAAACUCCUUUUAUAUGUCAAGAAAAUGACGGUAGCAUAUGAAUAAGCACCGGCUAACUCCGU